Molecule: ribosomal RNA, 232 nt
Filed under: uncultured bacterium
Lineage: Bacteria
Description: partial 16S ribosomal RNA
Rfam family: Bacterial small subunit ribosomal RNA
Source: RNAcentral
CGGACGGGUGAGUAAUGUCUGGGAAACUGCCCGAUGGAGGGGGAUAACCACUGGAAACGGUAGCUAAUACCGCAUAACGUCGCAAGACCAAAGAGGGGGACCUUAGGGCCUCUUGCCAUCGGAUGUGCCCAGAUGGGAUUAGCUAGUAGGUGGGGUAACGGCUCACCUAGGCGACGAUCCCUAGCUGGUCUGAGAGGAUGACCAGCCACACUGGAACUGAGACACGGUCCAG